This 262-nucleotide ribosomal RNA is filed under the name Escherichia coli. Its description in RNAcentral is "partial 16S ribosomal RNA". It matches the Rfam family "Bacterial small subunit ribosomal RNA", at positions 1 to 259 of the family's 1533-position model. The record is from RNAcentral. RNAcentral also lists the same sequence under 5 other names. Lineage: Bacteria; Pseudomonadati; Pseudomonadota; Gammaproteobacteria; Enterobacterales; Enterobacteriaceae.
AAAUUGAAGAGUUUGAUCAUGGCUCAGAUUGAACGCUGGCGGCAGGCCUAACACAUGCAAGUCGAACGGUAACAGGAAGCAGCUUGCUGCUUCGCUGACGAGUGGCGGACGGGUGAGUAAUGUCUGGGAAACUGCCUGAUGGAGGGGGAUAACUACUGGAAACGGUAGCUAAUACCGCAUAAUGUCGCAAGACCAAAGAGGGGGACCUUCGGGCCUCUUGCCAUCGGAUGUGCCCAGAUGGGAUUAGCUUGUUGGUGGGGUA